Molecule: ribosomal RNA, 292 nt
Filed under: uncultured bacterium
Lineage: Bacteria
Description: partial 16S ribosomal RNA
Source: RNAcentral
GGACUACAGGGGUAUCUAAUCCUGUUUGCUACCCACGCUCUCGCGCCUCAGCGUCAGUGACAGUCCAGGUGGCCGCCUUCGCCACUGGUGUUCCUUCCGAUCUCUACGCAUUUCACCGCUACACCGGAAAUUCCGCCACCCUCUACUGCACUCCAGUCUCAUAGUCUAAGAUGCCGUUCCUAGGUUAAGCCCAGGCCUUUCACAUCUCACUUAUCAAACCGCCUACGCGCCCUUUACGCCCAGUUACUCCGAUUAACGCUCGCACCCUCUGUAUUACCGCGGCUGCUGGCAC